This 272-nucleotide ribosomal RNA is filed under the name Klebsiella ornithinolytica. RNAcentral's name for it is "partial 23S ribosomal RNA". It matches the Rfam family "Bacterial large subunit ribosomal RNA", at positions 2036 to 2307 of the family's 2925-position model. RNAcentral also lists the same sequence under 1 other name. Lineage: Bacteria; Pseudomonadati; Pseudomonadota; Gammaproteobacteria; Enterobacterales; Enterobacteriaceae. The record is from RNAcentral.
GUGAAAUUGAACUCGCUGUGAAGAUGCAGUGUACCCGCGGCAAGACGGAAAGACCCCGUGAACCUUUACUAUAGCUUGACACUGAACAUUGAGCCUUGAUGUGUAGGAUAGGUGGGAGGCUUUGAAGUGUGGACGCCAGUCUGCAUGGAGCCAACCUUGAAAUACCACCCUUUAAUGUUUGAUGUUCUAACGUAGACCCGUGAUCCGGGUUGCGGACAGUGUCUGGUGGGUAGUUUGACUGGGGCGGUCUCCUCCCAAAGAGUAACGGAGGA